AGCAGCCGCGGUAAUUCCAGCUCCAAUAGCGUAUAUUAAAGUUGUUGCAGUUAAAAAGCUCGUAGUUGAAUUUCGGGAUCAAAGAAUCGGUCAUGCCUUGGUAUGUACUGGUUUUAUUGGUUCUCACCUUCUAAAGAACCAUGAUGUCAUUCAUUUGAUGUUAUGGGGAAUUAGGACUGUUACCUUGAAAAAUUAGAGUGUUUAAAGCAAGCUUACGCUUGAAUACAUUAGCAUGGAAUAAUGAAAUAGGACAUCAGAUUCUAUUUUGUUGGUUUCUAGGAUCGAUGUAAUGAUUAAUAGGGAUAGUUGGGGGCAUUAGUAUUCAAUUGUCAGAGGUGAAAUUCUUGGAUUUAUUGAAGACUAACUACUGCGAAAGCAUUUGCCAAGGAUGUUUUCAUUAAUCAAGAACGAAAGUUAGGGGAUCGAAGACGAUCAGAUACCGUCGUAGUCUUAACCAUAAACUAU
This 465-nucleotide unclassified non-coding RNA is filed under the name uncultured Entrophospora. RNAcentral's name for it is "SSU rRNA". It matches the Rfam family "Eukaryotic small subunit ribosomal RNA", at positions 569 to 1040 of the family's 1831-position model. Lineage: Eukaryota; Fungi; Glomeromycota; Glomeromycetes; Entrophosporales; Entrophosporaceae. The record is from RNAcentral.